UACGUAUGGAGCAAGCGUUAUCCGGAUUUACUGGGUGUAAAGGGCGUGUAGCCGGGCUGACAAGUCAGAUGUGAAAUCCGGGGGCUCAACCCCCGAACUGCAUUUGAAACUGUUGGUCUUGAGUAUCGGAGAGGCAGGCGGAAUUCCUAGUGUAGCGGUGAAAUGCGUAGAUAUUAGGAGGAACACCAGUGGCGAAGGCGGCCUGCUGGACGACAACUGACGGUGAGGCGCGAAAGCGUGGGGAGCAAACAGG
This 253-nucleotide ribosomal RNA is filed under the name uncultured bacterium. Its description in RNAcentral is "partial 16S ribosomal RNA". It matches the Rfam family "Bacterial small subunit ribosomal RNA", at positions 524 to 776 of the family's 1533-position model. The record is from RNAcentral.